UACGGCACCACUCCGUCAAUGUGUUUAUGCUUUACCGUGCUUCUCUGGUCGGCCAUUUUAUUCGACAAUCGACCCUCUGCCUGUCCGUACUCUCUUGGACUCUCGUUGUUUCAUAACUCAUAGUUUCAUCAUUCGUUUUCAUUUCGCACUGCUCGUCCGAGUCGGUCGCUUAAGCUUCAACAAACUCAUCUCCGCAAGUCUUACACGGUUAGCCGUCUCCGCAGAGUCGUUUGAUUGUUUCAAUUCAACGCAGUACUGUGUAGCGAACGCAUCAUGGCGCAAAUCAAAGACGAGAAGAUCAGUGACACGUCGUUAAACGGCCCCAACGCACACCACGGUCCAAGUCCCAAUCAUAAGCCGAAAGAAGAGUUCCAUGGCGGCGGCGGUGGCCGCGGCGGAAGAGGCAACCGCUUCCAACCGUACGGCGGACCCAACAGAGAUCGCAAAGGUGGUCCUCCGAGAGACAAUAUGCCAAGAGGAGAGUUUCGUAAUGAUAAUAAUCAUGGUGAUAAUCAUCAAGGAGAUAAUGAUAUCAUGAAUCGAGGCAAUCGCAAUCAUUCUGAAAGUGGAAGAGGUGGAAGACGUGGCGGUGGUGUUGGUGGAGGAGUUUUCAGAGGAGGUCCACCUAAUCGAGGAGAUGAUCGUUUAACUAGAGCUGAUGCCUUAUGGAAUGAACGUUUAAUGCAAAUAAUGGGUCCAACUCAUGAACUUCCGCAAACUGAUACCACGGAAAGAAAGUUCCUUAGCCAAUGUCGUCUUUACAUAGGAAACUUGGUGGAUUGUACUGAAGAAGAAUUGAUAGAAAUGUUUAAACCUUAUGGAGAAGUUUCUGAAAAUUUUUUGAACAAAGAAAAAAUGUUUGCCUUUAUCAGACUGGAUUAUCGUACUAAUGCGGAAAAAGCUAAAAGAGAAUUAGAUGGUCAGACACGAAAAGGACGUAUGUUGAAAAUAAGAUUUGCUCCAAUUGCUGCUGCCAUUAAAGUAAAAAACCUUACUCCAUUUGUAUCCAAUGAACUCCUAGAAUAUGCUUUUUCAAUAUUUGGUGAUAUUGAACGUUGUCAAGUGAUGGUAGAUGAAAGAGGUAAUUCAACUGGUGAAGGAAUCAUUGAAUUCUCACGUAAAAAUGCAGCAAGUAAUGCUUUGAAACGUUGUUCAGAAGGUUGUUUCUUUUUGACCAGUUCACUUCGCCCUUGUGUAGUUGAAACAUAUGAGUUUGUAGAUAGUUCAGAUGGUCUCCCAGAUAAGUUGUUGCCCAAAAAAACUAUGGAUUUCCAGAAGCAAAGAGAUGUUGGUCCAAGAUUUGCCAAUCCAAAUUCUUUUGAACAUGAAUUUGGUACUCGUUGGAAACAGUUAGCUGAAUUGUAUAAAUCUAAAGAAGAUGCAUUAAAACGUGAGAUGAAAUUGGAAGAAGAAAAAUUAGAAGCCCAAAUGGAAUAUGCUCGUUAUGAACACGAGACUGAAAUGCUCCGAGAACAAUUGCGUCAACGAGAAAUGGAUAGAGAACGACAAAAAAUGGAAUGGGAAAUGAAGGAACGUCAAGCAGAGGAUCAAAGACUUAGGGAAGGAGAUAUUUUCAGGAGACAAAGUGAAGAUUUAAGCAUGAGAAUGCAUCAUCAAGAUGAAGAGAUGAGGAGGCGUCAACAAGAUAAUUCAUCAUUCAUGCAGGACCAUAGAGGAGGACCGGGUAAACCCCAAUUUGAUGGACCUCCUAUUCCUGUUGAAGGUAUGUCUGUUCGUGAACUGGAAGCUAUAACUGCACAAGGAGGAAUGGGUGGGGAAAGCCAAGUGGCAAAUCAGGUUCGACUCUGUGCGGCUUUCGGUUAACCGCGUUGUUUCCCCGAAUAAAUCAACUUGAAUAAUGCAUCAUUAUUGAGGAAUUAUGGAAGAAGUCGUGCCUCCCGUGUGCAUGUGUGUACGUGUACUACGGUGUCCACACGCGCACAGUUCUACGUAACGUUGCUGUAACGCUAUCUAAAUUGAUGGGGUUACGUGUAAGUCAUACAUUGUUUGGGCAGGGACCAACAAUAGUCCGUUCGCAGAGGAUGCUGAUUAGCGAAAAAAAGAAGAAAAGAAAAAAUGUUUUACGGCAACGUAAUAUAUCAAUUGAAGACUUUCAAUAAAGUAAACAUUUCUUAACAUAA
Acyrthosiphon pisum (pea aphid) is the source of this 2141-nucleotide RNA transcript. It is a transcript of the gene named hrp65 protein, with no coding region annotated. The record is from RefSeq and is a predicted model, not a curated record. Lineage: Eukaryota; Metazoa; Arthropoda; Insecta; Hemiptera; Aphididae. The transcript is spliced from 12 exons.